AGUCUUCGUGACCCCCUUGAUAGAGUCAAAAUUGGUUGGUUUCUGUUGCACUUCAAGUCUCACUGAACAAAAUUCAAGGUCUCAAUCUCCUCCAUUACCUCAGUAUGAUGGUUCUAGACGUGGUUUUACCCAUCCGUUACCUCAGUAUGAGGCUUUUAGGCUUUGGUUUAGCCUUCCCUUACCUCAGUGUGAGGUUCUCUUACCUCAGUAUGAGGUCCAUUUACCUCAGUAUGAGGUCGUAAUUCGAAAUCUACUCUUUUUGCGUUUAUUGCAAUAUAUCUGUAUAUUGGUUUUCUUAAUUAAUAUUUCAGGA
RNAcentral lists this long non-coding RNA (313 nucleotides) under Brassica napus (rape). Its description in RNAcentral is "long non-coding RNA (BNAP_LNC007736)". Lineage: Eukaryota; Viridiplantae; Streptophyta; Magnoliopsida; Brassicales; Brassicaceae. The record is from RNAcentral.